Molecule: ribosomal RNA, 253 nt
Filed under: uncultured bacterium
Lineage: Bacteria
Description: partial 16S ribosomal RNA
Rfam family: Bacterial small subunit ribosomal RNA
Source: RNAcentral
UACGUAGGGCGCAAGCGUUGUCCGGAAUUAUUGGGCGUAAAGAGCUCGUAGGCGGCCGUUCGCGUCGGAUGUGAAAGCUCAGGGCUCAACCCUGAGACGCCAUUCGAUACGGGACGGCUAGAGGUAGGUAGGGGAAAGUGGAAUUCCUGGUGUAGCGGUGAAAUGCGCAGAUAUCGGGAGGAACACCGGUGGCGAAGGCGGCGACCUGGGUAGAUACUGACGCUGAGGCGCGAAAGCGUGGGGAGCAAACAGG